RNAcentral lists this unclassified non-coding RNA (197 nucleotides) under uncultured Serendipitaceae. RNAcentral's name for it is "sequence contains ITS2". Lineage: Eukaryota; Fungi; Basidiomycota; Agaricomycetes; Sebacinales; Serendipitaceae. The record is from RNAcentral.
UAAUCUCACCCCCCGAAAUUCGUUUUUUGGGGGGUGGACUUGGACGUUGUCGGUCAUCGACUCGUCUGGAAUGUCUCAGUGUACCCCGCUCGUCGGCGUAAACAGUGUGAUAAGUAUCUUCACUGGUAAGCCUCUCCGGAGGCGCGCUUUCAGGUGGGCUCCUGCGCUUACAACCGUCUUCGGACAAACCUCUGACA